This 253-nucleotide ribosomal RNA is filed under the name uncultured bacterium. Its description in RNAcentral is "partial 16S ribosomal RNA". It matches the Rfam family "Bacterial small subunit ribosomal RNA", at positions 524 to 776 of the family's 1533-position model. The record is from RNAcentral.
UACGGAGGGUGCGAGCGUUGUCCGGAAUCACUGGGCGUAAAGGGCGCGUAGGCGGCGCGGGUAGUCAACGGUGAAAGCUUGGGGCUCAACCCCGAGUCGGCCGUCGAUACUCCCGUGCUUGAGCACUGUAGAGGCAGGUGGAAUUCCGGGUGUAGCGGUGGAAUGCGUAGAGAUCCGGAAGAACACCGGUGGCGAAGGCGGCCUGCUGGGCAGUUGCUGACACUGAGGCGCGACAGCGUGGGGAGCAAACAGG